GCGGAGGCGGAGGUGGAGGUGGUGGAGGCGGCACAAUAGUCGUCAUCCCUAUCAAGACUAAGCCAGUUUACGGGGGUGGAGGUGGAUACCCAGGAGGUGGUGGUAGCUACUAUCCAGGAGGCGGUGGUGGCGGUGGACACUAUGGCGGCGGAGGUGGCUGUGCUAGCGGCAACUGUGGAGGCGGUGGAGGAUAUCCAUCAGGGGGUGGAGGUGGACACUAUGGCGGCGGAGGUGGUGGCUAUCCGUCAGGGGGUGGAGGUGGCUACCCGUCUGGUGGCAACCACAUAGGUGGUGGAGGUGGCGGAUGUUCCACCUGUGGUGGCGGCGGGGGCGGACAUAGUGGCGGGGGCGGUGGCUCAUACUCUCAAUCUUCUGCGUCCUCUUCUGCCCAAAGCUCCUCAGGCUCCUUCUCCGGAGGAUGGUGAUGACUGUGUAAUGACCUUGAACUUCCUAAAAGGUCAAACUGCUCAAGGAUCAAGCUGCGCGUCAUCCUCUCUCCUCGAUUUUCCCGGUGAACCUCACAAUAAAUGUUUUGUAC
Long non-coding RNA from Macrosteles quadrilineatus (aster leafhopper), 538 nucleotides. RefSeq lists it as uncharacterized. NCBI's taxonomy places the organism in Eukaryota, Metazoa, Arthropoda, Insecta, Hemiptera, Cicadellidae. The transcript has 3 exons. The record is from RefSeq and is a predicted model, not a curated record.